Molecule: ribosomal RNA, 253 nt
Filed under: uncultured bacterium
Lineage: Bacteria
Description: partial 16S ribosomal RNA
Rfam family: Bacterial small subunit ribosomal RNA
Source: RNAcentral
UACAUAGGGGGCAAGCGUUGUCCGGAUUUAUUGGGCGUAAAGAGCGUGUAGGCGGUUAGGUAGGUCCGUUGUGAAAACUCGAGGCUCAACCUCGAGACGCCGAUGGAAACCAUCUGACUAGAGUCCGGAAGAGGAGAGUGGAAUUCCUGGUGUAGCGGUGAAAUGCGCAGAUAUCAGGAAGAACACCCGUGGCUAAGGCGGCUCUCUAGUACGUGACUGACGCUGAGACGCGAAAGCGUGGGGAGCGAACAGG